UACGGGGGGGGCAAGCGUUGUUCGGAAUUACUGGGCGUAAAGGGCUCGUAGGUGGCCAACUAAGUCAGACGUGAAAUCCCUCAGCUUAGCUGGGGAACUGCGUCUGAUACUGGAUGGCUUGAGUUUGGGAGAGGGAUGCGGAAUUCCAGGUGUAGCGGUGAAAUGCGUAGAUAUCUGGAGGAACACCGGUGGCGAAGGCGGCAUCCUGGACCGGCAUUGACGCUGAGGCGCGAAAGCCAGGGGAGCAAACGGG
RNAcentral lists this ribosomal RNA (253 nucleotides) under uncultured bacterium. RNAcentral's name for it is "partial 16S ribosomal RNA". It matches the Rfam family "Bacterial small subunit ribosomal RNA", at positions 524 to 776 of the family's 1533-position model. The record is from RNAcentral.